RNAcentral lists this long non-coding RNA (1093 nucleotides) under Capsicum annuum. RNAcentral describes it as "long non-coding RNA (CANN_LNC007376)". The record is from RNAcentral. Lineage: Eukaryota; Viridiplantae; Streptophyta; Magnoliopsida; Solanales; Solanaceae.
GACUUUGUCUGAGUUGAGGGGGAAUAUCCAGAAUAUUUUUCUCUCUAGAUUGUUGUUAUAGUAUAUGUGCUAUGUCUAAUACAAUCAAAGACAAUAUAGGCAUCCACAACAGUCCACUCUCUAUAUUGGUGCCCUUCCACCUUGUAUCACCUCUAAUUCCAAUGAUCUAUGUUUGACACCACCAUCCCGACUAAAAAAAGGAUUAUUUUUGAAGUGUCCUCAUCAAAUUAAACUUGUAAUGUGAUUGUUUAUGGCUUAUCAAACACACUUCUCUGAUUGAUAUCUUCCAUCAGAAUCUCAGUAAUACCAUCACUCAAUCUUACCUCAAACAUCUUUCUCUGCCUUAGAUUUCAAUGCUUUAAUUGCCAAUUCAUGACAGAGCUUUAGAUUUGAUCGUUGGAGUUAUGUUAGGAAACUGUUUUGACCUCUGGGUCGCUCGUUUUAUUUUCAGGCCCUUAAGGAAGAUGCUGGGUUUGGGCAUAGUUUGUUAGUAUACAAACUAACAAGUGUUGCAAAUGUCAAUUGUAAUCUGAAUUUCUCUAUGUUCGGUGAGAUUUGUUAUUGAUGUGUGGAUCAAGAAUGCCUAGGAUCUCUAGGUUUAAAGAGCCCCAAUACCCAGGCAAUAUGUGAAAUGAACUUCCACUUGUGUUGCUGGAUGAGUUCGAAAUGUUUGGUUUCUUAUGUCUUCUAACUGUGAUAUAUAUUGAAAAAGGAUGCGUGAAGCAAGGUUGAGAUGGUUCAUGCAUGUGAUGAUGAUGGGCAUGGAUGCCCUAGUACGGAGGUGCGAGAGGUUGGCUAUGGAUGGAUUCAGCCAUUCAAGCGAGGUAGAGGUAGACCGAAGAAAUAUUGGAGGGAGGUACUUAGACAUGACAUGGAGCAGUUAUAGCUUAGUUUAUCGAGGACAUGACUCUAGAUAGGAAGAUGUGGAGGCGCGUUUUAGGGUAGAAGGUUAGUAGGAUGGGGGCUAGUAGUUGUAGCUUUUCACGGGUAGUUUCUUGUUCUUGAAAUUUUUCGGUGUUGUGUGUGGUUUCGGGUAGAUUGUUGGUGGCAUUAUUUGGUGAUAAUCUUGUUUAUGCUAUUGUUUGUUGUUUUG